This 234-nucleotide ribosomal RNA is filed under the name uncultured bacterium. Its description in RNAcentral is "partial 16S ribosomal RNA". It matches the Rfam family "Bacterial small subunit ribosomal RNA", at positions 118 to 347 of the family's 1533-position model. The record is from RNAcentral.
CGAGGAACAUGACCUUCGGCGGGGGAUAGCCGGCCCAACGGCCGGGUAAUACCGCGUACGACCACUCGGGGACAUCCCUAGGUGGUGAAAGCAGCAAUGCGCCGAUGGAGUGCCUCGCGGCCUAUCAGCUAGUUGGUGAGGUAACGGCUCACCAAGGCGACGACGGGUAGCUGGUCUGAGAGGAUGGCCAGCCACAUUGGGACUGAGACACGGCCCAGACUCCUACGGGAGCAG